CGUGGGCUUGUAAUCCAAGAGGAGGCACCAAGAAGAUAGAAUGAAUUAGGCUGGGUUUAGUUAGUGGAAGGAUAAUGGGCUGUUGUCGUCGGGAUCUAAAUUGGUCAAUGACCAUCGCCUUUUUUAUUACCUGCAUUUAAAUCAAUUUUGUACUGUAAUAUUAUUACUCUUGGCCUGGGUUUUGAAUUCUCGCUGUUCUUUUCGCGUGUUAUUUAACAGCGCUCGCUCUGGGUUCAAUAACUUCCUCUGUGUUGUUUCUUCCUUUUCUAUCGAGGGGAGGAGGGACUCAUACGAGUUCGGUUUCUUUUGGCUGGCUGCUUUCUGGCGGGUCUGGGUUCAGCUUAGAUGCCCUGAUCGUACGGUGGACCUCAUUCUUCAUUGGUGAGUGGGGCUGCCAUCAUUGUACAUUAAAUGCACGCCCCACCUGCCAUGGCCUUUGCCCUCUUGGUUGAAUGAAAGAGUGGGUUUUGGUUCCUGGGAUUUCACACCCUGUUCUCUCCUGACCAGCUGGUCUGAUUGAGUGCUGCUCCACCUCUCUUCUCCCUCUUCUAAUUCGGUUGGGAUGUUGUCAGGAUAUUGCCAAUUACAUGCAUGAUCACAAUGAUGCAGAGGAAUCCGUGAUGCACUCAUUCAAGGUUUGAACAUCAUUAGUUUGUGUGUGAUGAUUCACUUCUAAUCCUCUAUAAUGGAGACUUGAAAAACAUCAUUUAAUGGGAAUGGCAUGUUAACCAUUUCCUUUCAUCCUUCCACAUUAUUGUGGUGGAAUAUAUAAUAGCAUAAAUAGUUGCAGCUUCCAAUAGCCUCGCUAAACAUGUUGCCAUUCCUUUUGAUGGCUUCUGAGAGGUUGUCAGACAAUUUCCUAGGAAGAAGUGAAGAAGUGUCGGCUGCUGAAAGGUUACGAGGUUACUUCAUUGGGGUUGAGCCUUUUGGUUGCGAAUAUGAGGUGGCCUUCUAUUAAUGCAUUUGACAGGGCAUUUAGCAUUUUGUGUUUGUUUCUAUCAGUUUAGGGCUAUUACGAUGCCGCCACUAUGAAGGCUUCAGUAGGGGUUGCUUUUUAAGGAGGCAAUUGGCUCUCCCUAUUGGUUCUUCGGUUGAAAAGAUUUUGGCAGAUUCUUACUGAUUAUCAUCCUUUCAGCUGAUUUCAGUUUGGUAUGUCAUGUGAUAAAUUCUUUUAGGUAAAUGAUGCAUACCAGCAACAACCUGGUUACCCCACUAGAGUGUGUUCAAGUAGCAUUAUAGCUAAGGAAAUUUGAUUGUGUCAUGUAAUUUGAACUGCCAUUGUAGUUUAAACUUAUUACCUCCACCUGGUACAAUCAAACUGUAAUAUAUGACCUUUCCACUGUUGUUUCUGGUUUGCAUCAGUUACUCAUAAUUCAUUGAAUUAAGUGGGGCAAUUUGCAUCCCAGAUAUCUGUCGGUGCUUAUGACAGUUCACACGAUACAAAGGUAAAUUUCAUUGACUUGCAAUAUUUAUCAAGAAAAUAGAAGGUCCACGACUUGCUUGCUAGAGACUAGGUGAAUCAGGUUCAUCAUGCUUACAAGCUGCUGAUUGGCUAGCGAACUUGGUUUUUUAAAAGGCCACUGGGAAAAGCUGCUACGGAUGCUCCCUCUUCUGGUUUAAUCCCUGUCUUAUUUUAUGAUUUUAUUGGGAGUAUAUCUUUAUUUAUUAAUUGCAUUUGCUUUAACUUUGUAUAUCAAACAUGCAGAGCAUGGAUUCAAAUUUAAUAGACAGUAAAAGGCAGGGAGCGUGCUAUAUAUAUUGCAAAAAUCAAGAAUUAUGUGAUCUUCAUAUAUAUACACGUAGCCAUGUCAACCCAAUUAAGCUUGUAAUGCAGCUUCAAAUGAGGGAACUAGAAAGAAUGUUUGAUGAAGUA
Long non-coding RNA from Populus euphratica (Euphrates poplar), 1873 nucleotides. RefSeq lists it as uncharacterized. The record is from RefSeq and is a predicted model, not a curated record. The transcript has 3 exons. NCBI's taxonomy places the organism in Eukaryota, Viridiplantae, Streptophyta, Magnoliopsida, Malpighiales, Salicaceae.